AUACAGAGGGUGCGAGCGUUAAUCGGAAUUACUGGGCGUAAAGCGCGCGUAGGCGGUCUAUUAAGUCAGAUGUGAAAUCCCAGGGCUCAACCUUGGAACUGCAUCUGAUACUGGUAGACUUGAGUUUUGGAGAGGGAAGUAGAAUUUCAGGUGUAGCGGUGAAAUGCAUAGAGAUCUGAAGGAAUACCAGUGGCGAAGGCGACUUCCUGGCCAAAAACUGACGCUGAGGUGCGAAAGCGUGGGUAGCAAACAGGAUUAGAUACCCUAGUAGUCC
Molecule: ribosomal RNA, 274 nt
Filed under: uncultured bacterium
Lineage: Bacteria
Description: partial 16S ribosomal RNA
Rfam family: Bacterial small subunit ribosomal RNA
Source: RNAcentral